Molecule: RNase P RNA, 332 nt
Filed under: uncultured Eubacterium sp.
Lineage: Bacteria; Bacillati; Bacillota; Clostridia; Eubacteriales; Eubacteriaceae
Description: Bacterial RNase P class A
Rfam family: Bacterial RNase P class A
About the family: Ribonuclease P (RNase P) is a ubiquitous endoribonuclease, found in archaea, bacteria and eukarya as well as chloroplasts and mitochondria. Its best characterised activity is the generation of mature 5'-ends of tRNAs by cleaving the 5'-leader elements of precursor-tRNAs. Cellular RNase Ps are ribonucleoproteins.
Source: RNAcentral
AGCAGGAUAGAUAAUCGCGGGGACUUUUAUAGUCCGUGAGGAAAGUCCGGGCAUCACAGGGCAGGAUGCUGGAUAACGUCCAGUUGAGGUGACUCACAGGAAAGUGCAGCAGAAAAUAUACCGCUCUAUAUGAGUAAGGGUGAAAAGGCGAGGUAAGAGCUCACCGCCUGGCUGGUGACAGACAGGGCAUUGUAAACCCCAUCCGAUGCAAGACCAAGCAGAAGCGUUGACGCGGCCCGCCGAGCUUCAGGUAGGUUGCUUGAAUCCUGUAGUAAUACAGGAUCUAGAUAGAUGAUUAUCCCCGACAGAACCCGGCUUACAGUCCUGCUCCA